ACUCUUGCGCGAGGCAGCAGUGCGGAAUCUUGGACAAUGGGCGAAAGCCUGAUCCCGCAAUGCCGCGUGAGUGAUGAAGUCCUUGGGGAAGUAAAGUCUUUAACCC
Molecule: ribosomal RNA, 106 nt
Filed under: uncultured Sphingopyxis sp.
Lineage: Bacteria; Pseudomonadati; Pseudomonadota; Alphaproteobacteria; Sphingomonadales; Sphingopyxidaceae
Description: partial 16S small subunit ribosomal RNA
Rfam family: Bacterial small subunit ribosomal RNA
Source: RNAcentral